GUGGGGAAUUUUGGACAAUGGGCGAAAGCCUGAUCCAGCAAUGCCGCGUGCAGGAUGAAGGCCCUCGGGUUGUAAACUGCUUUUGUACGGAACGAAAAGCCUGGGGCUAAUAUCCCCGGGUCAUGACGGUACCGUAAGAAUAAGCACCGGCUAACUACGUGCCAGCAGCCGCGGUAAUACGUAGGGUGCAAGCGUUAAUCGGAAUUACUGGGCGUAAAGCGUGCGCAGGCGGUUUUGUAAGACAGUGGUGAAAUCCCCGGGCUCAACCUGGGAACUGCCAUUGUGACUGCAAGGCUAGAGUGCGGCAGAGGGGGAUGGAAUUCCGCGUGUAGCAGUGAAAUGCGUAGAUAUGCGGAGGAACACCGAUGGCGAAGUCAAUCCCCUGGGCCUGCACUGACGCUCAUGCACGAAAGCGUGGGGAGCAAACAGGAUUAGAAACCCGUGUAGUCC
Molecule: ribosomal RNA, 450 nt
Filed under: uncultured bacterium
Lineage: Bacteria
Description: bacterial SSU rRNA
Rfam family: Bacterial small subunit ribosomal RNA
Source: RNAcentral